ACUCAAUAGAUACCCUGGUAGUCCACGCCCUAAACGAUGUCUACUAGUUGUCGGGUCUUAAUUGACUUGGUAAACGCAGCUAAACGCGUGAAGUAGACCGCCUGGGGAGUACAGUCGCAAGAUUAAAACUCAAAGGAAUUGACGGGGACCCGCACAAGCGGUGGAUGAUGUGGAUUAAUUCGAUGCAACGCGAAAACCUUACCUACCCUUGACAUGGAUGGAAUCCCUGAGAGAUUGGGGAGUGCCCGAAAGGGAACCAUUACACAGGUGCUGCAUGGCUGUCGUCAGCUCGUGUCGUGAGAUGUUGGGUUAAGUCCCGCAACGAGCGCAACCCUUGUCAUUAGUUGCUACGAAAGGGCACUCUAAUGAGACUGCCGGUGACAAACCGGAGGAAGGUGGGGAUGACGUCAAGUCCUCAUGGCCCUUAUGGGUAGGGCUUCACACGUCAUACAAUGGUACAUACAGAGGGCCGCCAACCCGCGAGGGGAGCUAAUCCCAGAAAGUGUAUCGUAGUCCGGAUUGUAGUCUGCAACUCG
This 536-nucleotide ribosomal RNA is filed under the name uncultured bacterium. RNAcentral describes it as "bacterial SSU rRNA". It matches the Rfam family "Bacterial small subunit ribosomal RNA", at positions 770 to 1314 of the family's 1533-position model. The record is from RNAcentral.